AACGCACCUUGCGCUCCUUGGUAUUCCGAGGAGCAUGCCUGUUUGAGUGUCAUUAAAUUCUCAACCUUAUUAGCUUUUGCUGAUGAUGGCUUGGAUUUGGGGGUCUUUUGCCGGCUUUUAACAAAGUCAGCUCCCCUUAAAUGCAUUAGCUGGUACCCUCUGGUGGAACCGUCUAUUGGUGUGAUAAUUAUCUACGCCGUGGACAUCUGCCCUUAGAGUAGGUGUGCUGCUUCUAACCGUCUGUUCAUUCGGACAAUACAUAUGACAUUUUGACCUCAAAUCAGGUAGGACUACCCGCUGAACUUAA
This 307-nucleotide non-coding RNA is filed under the name Kuehneromyces sp. RNAcentral's name for it is "partial contains 5.8S ribosomal RNA, internal transcribed spacer 2, and large subunit ribosomal RNA". The stretch from base 1 to 52 matches the Rfam family "5.8S ribosomal RNA", at positions 103 to 154 of the family's 154-position model. RNAcentral also lists the same sequence under 3 other names. The record is from RNAcentral. Lineage: Eukaryota; Fungi; Basidiomycota; Agaricomycetes; Agaricales; Kuehneromycetaceae.